Molecule: ribosomal RNA, 444 nt
Filed under: uncultured bacterium
Lineage: Bacteria
Description: bacterial SSU rRNA
Rfam family: Bacterial small subunit ribosomal RNA
Source: RNAcentral
UAAGGAAUAUUGGACAAUGGUCGAAAGACUGAUCCAGCCAUGCCGCGUGCAGGAUUAAGGCCCUAUGGGUCGUAAACUGCUUUUAUACGGGACAAAACCCCUCUACGUGUAGAGGGCUGAUGGUACUGUAAGAAUAAGGGUCGGCUAACUUCGUGCCAGCAGCCGCGGUAAUACGAAGGACCCGAGCGUUAUCCGGAUUUAUUGGGUUUAAAGGGUGCGUAGGCGGAUUUAUAAGUCAGUGGUGAAAGCCUAUAGCUUAACUAUAGAAUUGCCAUUGAUACUGUAGGUCUUGAGUACAGUUGAGGUGGGCGGAAUGUGCAGUGUAGCGGUGAAAUGCUUAGAUAUUGCACAGAACACCAAUUGCGAAGGCAGCUCGCUAAGCUGUAACUGACGCUGAGGCACGAAAGUGUGGGUAGCAAACAGGAUUAGAUACCCCCGUAGUCC